CCUUGUUUCAAACACCUGUAAUCUACGUUCUUCCUUCAAGGUUCCCAGAUUCCACAAAUCGACUCUUUUGUGGACAUGUUCGGAGUCCGUAACCACACCGGGAACCGACGGUUCUUAAUAAUGUUCUCUGACUUUACUCAGCCACUCUGAUAUCGUUUAUUCCCCCACCCCCCGCUAAGGAACGUUUCAACCCCAUGCCAGAAAGAUAGAAUGGUUUCUGCAGGAAUAUACAACAGAGGAGGGGUGUUCGGUAAUCUGAUAGUGCGUUGCGUGGGACAGAGAACAAUUAGCAAAGGACAUUGUCAGUGUAUUACUUACGAAAAGUGAAGUGUUAUAUGAGAACACUCACAUAGUACAAGAACUACAUUACAGCUAUUCACACUUUAAAUGAAAAAAGCCUAUCUCUUUUUUUUACAAGGUGUUCAAAUUUUCAAGUCUUUUUAAUUGGCAUGUACGAAUAAAAAUAAUAAUUAAAAAUGUAUUUCGAAGAAGUAAAUUUUUAUUA
Non-coding RNA from Zootermopsis nevadensis, 505 nucleotides. The record is from RefSeq and is a predicted model, not a curated record. NCBI's taxonomy places the organism in Eukaryota, Metazoa, Arthropoda, Insecta, Blattodea, Termopsidae.